ACCUUGUAAGUCUAGUAGGAUUUUUCAUCCUUCUGAGAGGUACUUAGGUAUUAUCUCAGAAGAAGUAGAGAAAUUGCUUCCCAUAAAAAAUGGGGUACAUAGAGAUGACCUCAAAACCUAUGACGAGGUGAUACCAGAUAUUGACUCUGAGAAAUGGUUAGAGAUAAUGAAGUCAGAAAUUGACUCGAUGUGCUCAAACUAAGUUUGGACCUUAAUGGAUCCAUCCAAAGAUAUUAUACCUAUUGGGUGAAAAUGGAUCUACAAGAAAAAGAUUGGUGCAAAUGGAAAGGUAG
This 293-nucleotide long non-coding RNA is filed under the name Elaeis guineensis (African oil palm). RNAcentral describes it as "long non-coding RNA (EGUI_LNC021323)". Lineage: Eukaryota; Viridiplantae; Streptophyta; Magnoliopsida; Arecales; Arecaceae. The record is from RNAcentral.